Molecule: ribosomal RNA, 204 nt
Filed under: uncultured bacterium
Lineage: Bacteria
Description: partial 16S ribosomal RNA
Rfam family: Bacterial small subunit ribosomal RNA
Source: RNAcentral
AGGCGGACUGGUCAGUUAGGGGCGAAAUCCCGGGGCUCAACCCCGGAACUGCCUUUAAUACUGCCAGUCUUGAGUUCGAGAGAGGUGAGUGGAAUUCCGAGUGUAGAGGUGAAAUUCGUAGAUAUUAGGAGGAACACCAGUGGCGAAGGCGGCUCACUGGCUCGAUACUGACGCUGAGGUGCGAAAGCGUGGGGAGCAAACAGG